Molecule: ribosomal RNA, 386 nt
Filed under: uncultured bacterium
Lineage: Bacteria
Description: bacterial SSU rRNA
Rfam family: Bacterial small subunit ribosomal RNA
Source: RNAcentral
CGGGUAAUGCCGGGAACUUCUAAGGAGACUGCCGGUGACAAACCGGAGGAAGGUGGGGAUGACGUCAAGUCAUCAUGGCCCUUAUGGGCAGGGCUACACACGUGCUACAAUGGGCCGGUACAAAGGGUUGCCAACCCGCGAGGGGGAGCUAAUCCCAAAAAACCCGGUCGUAGUCCGGAUCGGAGUCUGCAACUCGACUCCGUGAAGUUGGAAUCGCUAGUAAUCGCGAAUCAGCACGUCGCGGUGAAUACGUUCCCGGGCCUUGUACACACCGCCCGUCACACCAUGGGAGUGGGCUGUACCAAAAGUAGGUAGCCUAACCUUCGGGAGGGCGCUUACCACGGUAUGGCUCAUGACUGGGGUGAAGUCGUAACAAGGUAGCCGUA